AUCUUGUUAAGGAGACUAUACUUGAGCCCAUUGGCCAUGGGAACUUGCUGAGAAGUUCUAAUCAAGGACAUAUUCAUAGGCAGACCAUCUGGUUGAAGUGGGAGGAGAUAUUUGAAGAGAAUGUCUGUGAAGAAGUGAAAGGGGUGAUGAAAGAGAACUCUCUAGUGAGAGAUGAUUAUGGAGCCCUUUUGAGUGAUAGCAAGAGUUGUGUGGCUGUCUGGGAACUAAAAAGGAAUAAGAUUAAUGUAAAUAUAAACCGAGACACCCCAUUAUUUGAGAAGGAUACACUUGGGAGAUUGUCUUGUAAACUAAGUGAAAGAGCUGCCAGACACCAUCUCCUGGAAAUGCCUAGAAGAGACAGGAAGCUAAGAGGAAAACAGCAAACCGUGGAAGAGAGACCUGCCAGUCUGCAUCGUAUCACCCACCUCCCCGAGCUGGGCUCCUCAUACUGACUCAAUUUUUCUGGCUAGUAAUUCCAGUACCAUGUUGAAAAGUGGCAAGAGUGAACAUCCCUGUCUUGUUCCUGGUCUUAGAAGAAAAGUUUGAAACUUUCAUCAUUGAGUAUGAUGUUGGUGUGGAUUUGCCACAUAUGGCCUUUAUUUUGUAGAGAUUAAAGGAAGUCUUUUCUCUUAAGCCAUCUAUGACUUACAGCAAUUUGAGACCAUGGAAUCCCAGAGAAUGUGAUCCGAGCUGUGAAACCCAGGGUAAAUGAAAAGGAACCCGACCCUUGGCUCCUCUGCUCUUGCAAACUCUCUCUAGAAGUCAUCGAAGGCUUAAGUUGACCCUUGCAAGCCCUCCAACCCCUCUCAGCUUCAGCCAAUAAGACACAGUUGGCCUAUGACUGGCACCUCUAUAAUCACUUAGAGGCUGCUAGGCUUUUAGCAAAGCAUCUCUUCUAACUUCUCAAGUGUUGUUCUUUUACUUGUUUUACUUUUAGACAAUCUUAUGAACCAGCUCCAGUGAGCAGAGAGGCAGGAGGGACAACCCAUCAAUAAAAUAAUUCAGCCAAAGUCAAUUUUGUUAGAGACUUCUCAUGUUGUACUAGGAAAUCUAGGCUACUAAAAAUCAGGGAAAUCAAAUGGAAUCAUUUCUUUUGGUUCUAAAAGGAAAGCUAUCUUUAAAACUAUCUCUUUCAGAUAUCCCAUGCUCUUGGAUUGAAAGAAUUAGUAUUGUUAAAAUGACCAAACUACCCAAAGCAAUCUACAGAUUUAAUGUAAUCCCUAUCAAAUUACCCAUGACAUUUUUCAUAGAAUACUCUUAAAAUUUAUGUGGAACCACAAAAGCCUCAGAUUUCCCAAAGCAGCCCUACAGAAAAAGAACAAAGCAGCAUGCAGCACCCUCCCAGACUUCAGACAAUACUAUAAAGCUACAGUAAUCAAAACAGAGUGAUAUUGGUACAAAAACAGACAUAUGGAUCAACAGCACAGAAUAUAGAAAGCCCAGAAAUAAAUCCACAUAUAUAUAAUCAAUAGUGUAUUCUUGCCUCCUUUGUUGAAAAUCAGUGGGGAAAAGACAGUCUCGUCAGCAAGUGGUGCUGGGAAUGUUGGAAAACCACAUGCAAAUCAAUGAAUUUGGAACAAUCACCCCCUCUCACCAUACACAAGUAUAAACUCAAAAUGGGUUAUAGACUUAAACAUAAGGCACUACACCUUAGAACUCCUAGAAGAGGUCAUGGGCCAAAUAUUCUGACAGAAAUCAUACCAGUGUUUUCCUAGGUCAGUUUCCUAAGGCAAUCAAAAUAAACAAAUGAGACCUAUUCAAAUUUAUAAGCUUCUGC
Long non-coding RNA from Bos taurus (domestic cattle), 1777 nucleotides. The record is from Ensembl. Lineage: Eukaryota; Metazoa; Chordata; Mammalia; Artiodactyla; Bovidae.